Molecule: ribosomal RNA, 439 nt
Filed under: uncultured bacterium
Lineage: Bacteria
Description: bacterial SSU rRNA
Rfam family: Bacterial small subunit ribosomal RNA
Source: RNAcentral
GCAUAACGCGAAGAACCUUACCUGGCCUUGACAUUGAUAGAAUCUGCUAGAGAUAGCGGAGUGCCCUUCGGGGAGCUUGAAAACAGGUGCUGCACGGCUGUCGUCAGCUCGUGUCGUGAGAUGUUGGGUUAAGUCCCGCAACGAGCGCAACCCUCGUCACUAGUUACUAACGGUUCGGCCGAGGACUCUAGUGAGACUGCCUUCGUAAGGAGGAGGAAGGUGAGGACGACGUCAAGUCAUCAUGGCCCUUACGGCCAGGGCGACACACGUGCUACAAUGGGAUGUACAAUGAGACGCAAUACCGCGAGGUGGGGCAAAUCUAUAAAACAUCUCUCAGUUCGGAUUGUAGUCUGCAACUCGACUACAUGAAGCUGGAAUCACUAGUAAUCGUAGAUCAGCCAUGCUACGGUGAAUACGUUCCCGGGUCUUGUACACACCG